GACGAACGCUGGCGGCGUGCUUAACACAUGCAAGUCGAACGGAAAGGCCCUGCUUUUGUGGGGUGCUCGAGUGGCGAACGGGUGAGUAACACGUGUGUAACCUGCCCUUGACUUUGGGAUAACUUCAGGAAAUUGGGGCUAAUACCGGAUAGGAGCUCCUGCUGCAUGGUGGGGGUUGGAAAGUUUCGGCGGUUGGGGAUGGACUCGCGGCUUAUCAGCUUGUUGGUGGGGUAGUGGCUUACCAAGGCUUUGACGGGUAGCCGGCCUGGGAGGGUGACCGGCCACAUUGGGACUGAGAUACGGCCCAGACUCCUACGGGAGGCAGCAGUGGGGAAUAUUGCACAAUGGGCGGAAGCCUGAUGCAGCAACGCCGCGUGCGGGAUGACGGCCUUCGGGUUGUAAACCGCUUUCGCCUGUGACGAAGCGUGAGUGACGGUAAUGGGUAAAGAAGCACCGGCUAACUACGUG
Molecule: ribosomal RNA, 468 nt
Filed under: uncultured bacterium
Lineage: Bacteria
Description: partial 16S ribosomal RNA
Rfam family: Bacterial small subunit ribosomal RNA
Source: RNAcentral